ACGCACGCUGGCAGCGUGCUUAACACAUGCAAGUCGAGCGGUGAAGCGCCUUCCUUUUUGGUGGGUGUGGAUGAGUGGCGAACGGGUGAGUAACACGUGAGUAACCUGCCCCCUUCUUCUGGAUAACCGCAUGAAAGUGUGGCUAAUACGGGAUAUUCUGGGUCUGUCGCAUGAUGGGUCUGGGAAAGAUAUUGUUUCGGUGGGGGAUGGGCUCGCGGCCUAUCAGCUUGUUGGUGGGGUGAUGGCCUACCAAGGCGGUGACGGGUAGCCGGCCUGAGAGGGUGGACGGUCACACUGGGACUGAGACACGGCCCAGACUCCUACGGGAGGCAGCAGUGGGGAAUAUUGCACAAUGGGCGCAAGCCUGAUGCAGCGACGCCGCGUGAGGGAUGGAGGCCUUCGGGUUGUGAACCUCUUUCGCCAGUGAAGCAGGCCUGCCUCGUUUGUGGGUGGGUUGACGGUAGCUGGAUAAGAAGCGCCGGCUAACUACGUG
RNAcentral lists this ribosomal RNA (493 nucleotides) under uncultured bacterium. RNAcentral describes it as "partial 16S ribosomal RNA". It matches the Rfam family "Bacterial small subunit ribosomal RNA", at positions 29 to 507 of the family's 1533-position model. The record is from RNAcentral.